GACGAACGCUGGCGGCGUGCCUAAUACAUGCAAGUUGAGCGCUGAAGGUUGGUACUUGUACCAACUGGAUGAGCAGCGAACGGGUGAGUAACGCGUGGGGAAUCUGCCUUUGAGCGGGGGACAACAUUUGGAAACGAGUGCUAAUACCGCAUAAAAACUUUAAACACAAGUUUUAAGUUUGAAAGAUGCAAUUGCAUCACUCAAAGAUGAUCCCGCGUUGUAUUAGCUAGUUGGUGAGGUAAAGGCUCACCAAGGCGAUGAUACAUAGCCGACCUGAGAGGGUGAUCGGCCACAUUGGGACUGGGACACGGCCCAAACUCCUACGGGAGGCAGCAGUAGGGAAUCUUCGGCAAUGGACGAAAGUCUGACCGAGCAACGCCGCGUGAGUGAAGAAGGUUUUCGGAUCGUAAAACUCUGUUGGUAGAGAAGAACGUUGGUGAGAGUGGAAAGCUCAUCAAGUGACGGUAACUACCCAGAAAGGGACGGCUAACUACGUG
Molecule: ribosomal RNA, 497 nt
Filed under: uncultured bacterium
Lineage: Bacteria
Description: partial 16S ribosomal RNA
Rfam family: Bacterial small subunit ribosomal RNA
Source: RNAcentral